Molecule: long non-coding RNA, 647 nt
Filed under: Homo sapiens (human)
Lineage: Eukaryota; Metazoa; Chordata; Mammalia; Primates; Hominidae
Description: novel transcript
Source: RNAcentral
UUUUUGAGACAGGGUCUCACACUGUUGCCCAGGCUGGAGUACAGUGGCCUGAUGACUGCUCACUAUAGCCUCAACCUACUAGGGCCAAGCAAUCUUCCUACCUCAGCCUCCCAAGUAGCUGGAAUUACAGGAUCCUCAGUGAACAGCACCUAAGCACAGAGACAAGUGAACAUCUCUGGCUGAAACUACAUUCCAGUGGGACUGAAAAAUGUUCGUGUGGAAGCAUCUGACCACCAAUGACCAUGCAGUCCCACAAGGUCCGUGCAGGUUACAAGUGGCGUCCGGACACAGGACUUCGAGGAUGUAAAUGAAGAAGGUCUGCUGGAGCAGAGGAACUGAAAUUGACAAGGAAACUUUGGAAAAUAGCUGAAAGUGACCAAUUCAAGUCUAUUUCGUGGGAUGAGAAUGGAACUUGCAGAGUGAUUAAUGAAGAACUCUUCAAGAAAGAAAUUUUGGAAGAAAGGCUCUUUACAGAAUAUUGGAAACUGACAGUAUGAAAAGCUUAGUUUGACAGCUCAACCUCCAUGUAUUUAGUAAAAUUUGAGAGAAUUUUCAAACAUCUGCUUCUUUGGCCAACUUUCUGGCAGAAGAAAAACAAGUCUCUGUUUUAAGCAAAGUAUUCAAAAUAUUUCAGUUACCACAAGUAG